UAUUUAAAUAAUAAAAUAUUAAUAAAAAAUCAAAAAAUAUCUGAAAUCACAAAAGAAAAAAAUGACCAUACAAAUAAAAUGUUCUCCCCACUUUCCCCUACUCAUGUAAAAAAAGCCCAAAAGAAUAUUUGCUGUAGCUUGUACCAAGCAAGCCUCACCGUUAUCUAGUCUGGACUGUAUUUGGAAUUUAAUAUCUAUUUCUUGGUGAAGAAAAAGAAAAACAAUUUUAAACAGGCAAGCAACCAACAGCAAACUGCCAACCACUGUUAACAAACAGUGCUGACAUAAUAAAGAAUGUAAAAGGAAAAAAUAAUCAAGAAUCAAGGAUCAAGAAUUGGAGCUGAACAGAAAUCAAGAAUUAAGAAAAUGGUGUUCAAUAGCUUGAUAAUAGCAUCAGUAGCGCACACAUCAGCAGAUUUAUGGCAAGAGAUAGCAAGAAUUCAAGUCCAAGAUCGUAUAAGCAGCCACCAGCUUCUUGAUCUGAUAUGUUGUUUUCCUCUUCAGCAAUUGGGUAGUUUUGCUCUUUGGCUUUGGACUUUUCUUUGUCUUCCUCCUCCUGAUUCUUUCUAUCCUUACACUUAUUACUCCUCUACUACUACUACCUCUUCUUCUGAUUAUGGUCUUGAUCAUGAUCAAAAUCUUGAUUAUGAUGAAGAUGAUGUUCUUGAUCAUCCUCCUCCUCAUCUUCGUUAUGCUCUUGGCUCUUUUUCUUCUUCUUCUUCUUCCUCUUCAUCAUCAUCAGUUGAUCUUCAUCACUACUACCAUCACUCUCACUCUGAUUGAUUCACUGUUAAAGAUGGCUUCUUCUCCAAUUUCACACCCUUUUUAUACUAACUUCAUGCAGGUUUUCUCAGUUAUCACUCGAAAACACAAGAUGAUGUAAUGAACAGCAUUGUUCUUGUUUUAGUGACCUGCUGAUAUGUUUGUUUGCAAGCUUCAACUUUUAAUGGUGCUUGCUGAAAUGGUUAGCCUCUUGCCAUGUUAUCUGCUGUAGAAGUUGACUAGAUAGGGGAUUGAGCAAGAUUGGCUUCAGGUCUGACUUAGACUUUCAAUGCUGAAUCACAGAAAAAUAUUUUGCAAGUAAGCCAAUUUGAAGGAUCUAAGUUGCGUCUGGGGCUUGUCUUCUAUGUAUGUUCAUGAUAACUAAUAGUGUGGAAUCUUUUGUAGCUUAUACAUAAGUUCUGAUGCUAAGAUAUUUCUUCAUUUUUAGGUUCUGUGCUAUCUAUUAGUAAAAUUGAAAGCAAAUUAUAGUGUAACUUUCUAUGUAAAGUUUUUGGUACUUGUUUCCCUUGUGUUUUCUUUGGAAAAUUUCUUUUGACUGAACCUCUGGAAAUGAAGCGUUCUGCUCAUACUAUUUGCAA
Ricinus communis (castor bean) is the source of this 1361-nucleotide RNA transcript. RefSeq lists it as uncharacterized. The transcript is spliced from 3 exons. NCBI's taxonomy places the organism in Eukaryota, Viridiplantae, Streptophyta, Magnoliopsida, Malpighiales, Euphorbiaceae. The record is from RefSeq and is a predicted model, not a curated record.